CAUGCAAGUCGAACGAACUCUGGUAUUGAUUGGUGCUUGCAUCAUGAUUUACAUUUGAGUGAGUGGCGAACUGGUGAGUAACACGUGGGAAACCUGCCCAGAAGCGGGGGAUAACACCUGGAAACAGAUGCUAAUACCGCAUAACAACUUGGACCGCAUGGUCCGAGUUUGAAAGAUGGCUUCGGCUAUCACUUUUGGAUGGUCCCGCGGCGUAUUAGCUAGAUGGUGAGGUAACGGCUCACCAUGGCAAUGAUACGUAGCCGACCUGAGAGGGUAAUCGGCCACAUUGGGACUGAGACACGGCCCAAACUCCUACGGGAGGCAGCAGUAGGGAAUCUUCCACAAUGGACGAAAGUCUGAUGGAGCAACGCCGCGUGAGUGAAGAAGGGUUUCGGCUCGUAAAACUCUGUUGUUAAAGAAGAACAUAUCUGAGAGUAACUGUUCAGGUAUUGACGGUAUUUAACCAGAAAGCCACGGCUAACUACGUGCCAGCAGCCGCGGUAAUACGUAGGUGGCAAGCGUUGUCCGGAUUUAUUGGGCGUAAAGCGAGCGCAGGCGGUUUUUUAAGUCUGAUGUGAAAGCCUUCGGCUCAACCGAAGAAGUGCAUCGGAAACUGGGAAACUUGAGUGCAGAAGAGGACAGUGGAACUCCAUGUGUAGCGGUGAAAUGCGUAGAUAUAUGGAAGAACACCAGUGGCGAAGGCGGCUGUCUGGUCUGUAACUGACGCUGAGGCUCGAAAGUAUGGGUAGCAAACAGGAUUAGAUACCCUGGUAGUCCAUACCGUAAACGAUGAAUGCUAAGUGUUGGAGGGUUUCCGCCCUUCAGUGCUGCAGCUAACGCAUUAAGCAUUCCGCCUGGGGAGUACGGCCGCAAGGCUGAAACUCAAAGGAAUUGACGGGGGCCCGCACAAGCGGUGGAGCAUGUGGUUUAAUUCGAAGCUACGCGAAGAACCUUACCAGGUCUUGACAUACUAUGCAAAUCUAAGAGAUUAGACGUUCCCUUCGGGGACAUGGAUACAGGUGGUGCAUGGUUGUCGUCAGCUCGUGUCGUGAGAUGUUGGGUUAAGUCCCGCAACGAGCGCAACCCUUAUUAUCAGUUGCCAGCAUUAAGUUGGGCACUCUGGUGAGACUGCCGGUGACAAACCGGAGGAAGGUGGGGAUGACGUCAAAUCAUCAUGCCCCUUAUGACCUGGGCUACACACGUGCUACAAUGGAUGGUACAACGAGUUGCGAACUCGCGAGAGUAAGCUAAUCUCUUAAAGCCAUUCUCAGUUCGGAUUGUAGGCUGCAACUCGCCUACAUGAAGUCGGAAUCGCUAGUAAUCGCGGAUCAGCAUGCCGCGGUGAAUACGUUCCCGGGCCUUGUACACACCGCCCGUCACACCAUGAGAGUUUGUAACACCCAAAGUCGGUGGGGUAACCUUUUAGGAACCAGCCGCCC
RNAcentral lists this ribosomal RNA (1439 nucleotides) under Lactiplantibacillus plantarum. RNAcentral describes it as "bacterial SSU rRNA". It matches the Rfam family "Bacterial small subunit ribosomal RNA". Lineage: Bacteria; Bacillati; Bacillota; Bacilli; Lactobacillales; Lactobacillaceae. The record is from RNAcentral.